This 640-nucleotide ribosomal RNA is filed under the name Vibrio sp. RNAcentral describes it as "bacterial SSU rRNA". It matches the Rfam family "Bacterial small subunit ribosomal RNA", at positions 60 to 694 of the family's 1533-position model. The record is from RNAcentral. Lineage: Bacteria; Pseudomonadati; Pseudomonadota; Gammaproteobacteria; Vibrionales; Vibrionaceae.
AGUUAUCUGAACCUUCGGGGAACGAUAACGGCGUCGAGCGGCGGACGGGUGAGUAAUGCCUAGGAAAUUGCCCUGAUGUGGGGGAUAACCAUUGGAAACGAUGGCUAAUACCGCAUGAUGCCUACGGGCCAAAGAGGGGGACCUUCGGGCCUCUCGCGUCAGGAUAUGCCUAGGUGGGAUUAGCUAGUUGGUGAGGUAAGGGCUCACCAAGGCGACGAUCCCUAGCUGGUCUGAGAGGAUGAUCAGCCACACUGGAACUGAGACACGGUCCAGACUCCUACGGGAGGCAGCAGUGGGGAAUAUUGCACAAUGGGCGCAAGCCUGAUGCAGCCAUGCCGCGUGUGUGAAGAAGGCCUUCGGGUUGUAAAGCACUUUCAGUCGUGAGGAAGGUGGUGUAGUUAAUAGCUGCAUCAUUUGACGUUAGCGACAGAAGAAGCACCGGCUAACUCCGUGCCAGCAGCCGCGGUAAUACGGAGGGUGCGAGCGUUAAUCGGAAUUACUGGGCGUAAAGCGCAUGCAGGUGGUUUGUUAAGUCAGAUGUGAAAGCCCGGGGCUCAACCUCGGAAUAGCAUUUGAAACUGGCAGACUAGAGUACUGUAGAGGGGGGUAGAAUUUCAGGUGUAGCGGUGAAAUGCGUAGA